This 595-nucleotide long non-coding RNA is filed under the name Solanum tuberosum (potato). RNAcentral describes it as "long non-coding RNA (STUB_LNC000581)". The record is from RNAcentral. Lineage: Eukaryota; Viridiplantae; Streptophyta; Magnoliopsida; Solanales; Solanaceae.
GAACGUUAAGGAUUUUUUGAAGAAUUAUGGCUGGACCCUAGUAUUGGGUUUCCUACUUAUCUCAGAUUACAUGAGAACUCAAGCCACUAGUAGUUCGAAAAGCUUGAUUUUAAGCACGAUUUUCAAAGAAUUCCAAAAGCUAUUUCGGUGUCGAAGUAUGGAGAGACCGAAAAGCUCGAGAAUGGAGUGAGAAGUGGUUUAUUGGAAUACAGUCGAGUUUUCAACACCGAACCCGCCUACACAUUCCUAAACUUUGAAAUCAGACUAUUUGUAGUUCGACUCAAUCAGUUGAAAAGGAAAUCUCAUAUGCAAAAAUCCCUUUAGCUCAAGGAUGAGGGACAAAUGAAAUGAGUGUGGAAAAGAGGCUUGCAAACAUCUCAACUAUGAAAACGGGGCCCUUCACACUCAUAGGUAAGAACUUACAUGGACAUAACUUCCAAAGCUCUAGGUGUAUUGUCACUCGAAUUUGAAAAUUUGCAUUCGGUGAGAGUUGAAAAUUUCACAGAGGGCAAAACUGAAACUAUUAAACCUAAGAAAAACCCACACUCCUAAUGAUUGGGAUGUGGUUUGAUUGUGGUGGAAGUCGCUCCUCAAC